RNAcentral lists this ribosomal RNA (436 nucleotides) under uncultured bacterium. RNAcentral's name for it is "bacterial SSU rRNA". It matches the Rfam family "Bacterial small subunit ribosomal RNA", at positions 34 to 462 of the family's 1533-position model. The record is from RNAcentral.
GAAUUCACUAGUGAUUCAGAAAUAACACAUGCAAGUCGAACGUGAAGCACAAAAAAGGGUGCGUGGAAAGUGGCGAACGGCUGAGUAACACGUGGGCAACCUGCCCCUCACAUCGGGACAGCCUCGGGAAACCGGGAUUAAUACCGAAUACUCCGAUCACACCACAUGGUGGGUUCGGGAAAGCUCCGGCGGUGAGGGAUGGGCCCGCGGCCUGUUAGCUUGUUGGUGGGGUAACGGCCUACCAAGGCGAUGAUGGGUAGCUGGGUUGAGAGACCGAGCAGCCAGAUUGGGACUGAGACACGGCCCAGACUCCUACGGGAGGCAGCAGUGGGGAAUCUUGCGCAAUGGAAGGAAGCCUGACGCAGCGACGCCGCGUGCGGGAUGAAGUAAUGGGGGUUGUAAACCGCUUUCAGCAGGGACGAGGCCGCAAGGUGAC